GUCUGAAAUUUCAUUUUUAAUGUCAGAAUAACAUAAAAAAAAGUAGCUUUUUCUCCAUAUGCAGUCUUGCAAAAAAAUGUAUACCAGGAACUUGGUCCUUUCUAGUGAUUUCUACAUAUGCAACUGCUCAUCUCUUAUGCACGUAUGCACUUGCACAUAAGUAAAUGUGCUUGCAGACAGACAAUAUUUCAUCUUGCCUUCUAACCUCCUGCUGUCAAGAUAUUGCCACAGAAAACCGCACAGAAAUAAAACUAACAGCUCCUCUUUCCCUGACUUCCAGAAUAACGCAGGGAACUGCUUCGGUAAAACCAAGCUGCUGGAUUGCUCUUGGUUUGCUCUGUGAACAAGCGCAACUGUGCAGCUUCUGCUGAGAUUGCCUUUUCUGUCAUAUAAUCUAUUCACACUAACUAAAGGAUCUGUAAGAAAAAACAGAACCACAGUUUUGAUUUAAACACAUGAAGAAAUAUUUAUCUUGGACCAAUUACUGGGGUCAUCAAAAGCUGCUCAAUUUAGUGCACAAAAAGGGAAAAAAAAUGUUUGAGUAACUCAACACAAAGUGCUAAGAUUCCCUGUGACCUAUGGUGUGCUCUUUUAUUGUUUGGGUGUUUUAUUCCUCUGCUAUCAUUAGGUGGGAUUAUAGAGAUGCAGAUCAGAACUGUUGAAGAUCAAGAAAAUCCUUAUGUUUUAACACGGGCAAAGGUCUCGCUUGCCAUCAGUUUUUGCCUGAUUAUGUUCAAUACCAGAUACCUCUCAGUUAACUUUAAAGCCAAGAAGUUGAAAAGAUUCACAACAGUUCUAACCCUCUGCUGAAAAAGCAGUGGAGUUCAAUGAAUUAAGUUUCAGUUGGUGAUAAUUUACAGUAUUCUGAGGACUUUCUUUCCCCAAGUUUAGUUCAUAAAAUAUUUCCGUACAGUUGAGGGAUAAUCUUUUAAAAGAACAGGUGAACAGUUCAAAAGCUUACCCACAAAAGAACAAACCAUAGGUAACAGAGGUAAAAAGCUGACCUAGAGAAUAAGUAUUUUUCUCUUGUUUUUCGAUUAACAAAAUUGAAUUCGAAACCAUUCUGUUUAUUAAAGACAUAUAGACAUAAUAACAGGUCACAGUUAAACAUCUUAACAGUCUUUAAACAUAACAGAAUUGAUAUGCAUCAUUAAGUUUCAUUAAGUACGAAUUCAAAAUAUAUACUUCAGUUUUGCUUUAUGUUCCCUUUAGACCAGCACCUCCAACACUUGUAAACGAUAUUUAGGCUGCCCCAAGCAAUCAAAAAGGACUUUGUAAAGGCUUUAACAAAACUCCAUCGUAAACCAGUUUAAAAUAUUCUUAAAUG
RNAcentral lists this long non-coding RNA (1327 nucleotides) under Strigops habroptila (Kakapo). Its description in RNAcentral is "lncRNA (ENSSHBG00005017156.1)". Lineage: Eukaryota; Metazoa; Chordata; Aves; Psittaciformes; Psittacidae. The record is from RNAcentral.